Molecule: non-coding RNA, 75 nt
Submitted as: unclassified sequences
Source: Rfam
GGGAGGUUCUUAGAAUCCCCGCGGGUGACGUGUAAAUAGCGUUUGUCUUUGGCCGGACUACGUGGUUUGUGAAUC